AUGGUGAUGUUGGCCAUAGCAACCUCGGACCUACCUGGACAAAGGUGCUCUGCGGAAGAGCUGACCCACACAGGUGUGUCCGCCCAUCAGAGGGUCAUUUCCCCUGGCCAACGAAGCGUGGUGUCCCAUACGUCGCCCCUGUUCCUGUCAGCCGUCUGGCUGCGUGCCCUGCCCAUCUCCCCUUGUCACCAGCCAGGCUUCCCAGCUGAGAAGAGAGGAGGGCGGCGGCUCGGCCCGGAGGAGCCCCUGAACCCUGGCCCUCAGACACUGGGCGCUGGACCCUCCGAGGGGCCAAGUCCGCGAAGGUGGGGUUUGCGCCUGGGUCCCCGGGGCUGUGCAAACACCGGACAGCUGUACUUCGGCAAAGGCUCCAAGCUGACCGUGCUUGAUGACCUGAAGAAGGUGCAGCCACCCAGGGUCACCGUGUUCGAACCAUCGGAAGCAGAGAUUGCCCGCACCCAGAAGGCCACACUCGUGUGCCUGGCCACAGGCUUCUACCCCGACCACGUGGAGCUGAGCUGGUGGGUGAAUGGCAAGAAGGUCCUGAGUGGGGUCAGCACUGACCCCCAGCCCUACAAGGAGCACCCCAACCGCAAUGACUCCAACUACUGCCUGAGCAGCCGGCUGAGGGUCUCCGCCGACUUCUGGAGCAACCCCCGCAACUACUUCAGCUGCCAAGUCCAGUUCUACGGGCUGGGAAAGAACGACACUUGGAAGGAGGAGGACGGUCCCAAGCCCACCACCCAGAACGUCAGCGCCGGGGCCUGGGGCAGAGCAGAGUGUGGUGUCACCUCAGCGUCCUAUAAGCAAGGGGUCCUGUCUGCCACCCUCGUGUAUGAGAUCCUGCUGGGGAAGGCCACCGUGUACGCAGUGCUGGUCAGCGUCCUGGUGCUGAUGGCCAUGGUCAAGAAAAAGGAUUCCUGAGACCAGUUCCAAAAGCACAUCCAGAGUCGUUCUUAGUCCUCGCCCCAGAUUCACCUGCGCAUGCUCCCAGCCUGCGUCCCUAAGGAGGUGUUCUCUCUCCGCCUUUUAUCUCCUUCCUGCAUAGACGCCUGUCCCUUCUCUCUGGGGCCCUGCAGACUGAGCGCCUCAACCCUGGAUCUAAACAGAUUAAGCCAAUAAAGGUGUUGUGCUGGA
Phyllostomus discolor (pale spear-nosed bat) is the source of this 1137-nucleotide non-coding RNA. The record is from the annotation of a RefSeq genome assembly. NCBI's taxonomy places the organism in Eukaryota, Metazoa, Chordata, Mammalia, Chiroptera, Phyllostomidae.